AGCAGCGGAAGUGAGGGGCGCCUCGGGAGAAUGAAAUGAAAACCCUGUAGUCCAAGGCAACUUUGCGGAUCAGGCGCUGUGGGCUGAAUCCUGGAGAAGGACAAGUCCAAGGCGGGCUCUGAUCCUUCUGCAGUCCUGGGCCGUGUUAACCCGCCUGGGUGAGCCCCAGUGCCUUUAACUCGACACGCUCCCUGUGAGUUCACCUCCUGCACAGGCCGCAUGGAGACCGAAGCCUAGCCUGCCGGCAGCUGCAGCCAAUAUGUCUACACGGUUGAGCAUGGCAGGAACUUUGAGCCGGGACACCAGUUCACCCGAGAUGUGCUUCCCCUCAGAGGGAAGCUGAACACCCGAGCUGACCUUGCCCCCUUCUGGGAGGGACCCCAUCUCACAGUGGCAGCAGAGGCUGCGGGUCAGUGGGGUGAUGACCGGGCCCUCAGAGACCUUGCUCUCUCUCUUUGCAGAACCCCAUAAAUCCUUCCAAAGGGAGUAAUUCCCUCAGGAUCAAGAGGGCCCUCCGCAUUCCUGAAAUCAAUGAAGGCAAAAUGUACAGGGAUUUCUGAGAAAAGUAACCGUGGUGUGAGCAUGAUCCCUGGGUGUUACUAUGCAGCAGAGGAGGCCUUUUUUUUUUCCUCCACUGAAUGGUGUUCUUUGCUCUCAAGUUAACUCAUGCACUGGAUUUGGUCCAAGUACAUUUUGUUUCUUGAUUUCCAGCCAGCCUUCUCUCAGUUGUGGUGAAUUCUCUGCUUCGCUCCUGUCCUUCCCCAAUCCCGUUCUCUCUCUUUGUCAGCCUUUCAACUUUUCUCUGUGGCUGAACCGAUACAGAGGCAAACCCACCGGCUUAGGUAGGGCUUCCCCUGGAGUGAGGCCGGAGGGAGUCUGAAUGGCAGCCCCUCACUCAGCCACAGCCUGCGCAGCAAGGAAGGUCUGCGAGCGGCUGAAGCAGAAAGUGUUUGAACUCUGCCCCCUGCCAAAUGAUUUCCAGAUGUGUAAACUCCAGCCUCCCUCUGUUCUCCGACUGUAGCCCUGCCAACAUACAUCUGCAGAUUUCUAGUGCACAGGAAACAUGAAAGAGUAUCUUUUACAACAUCUGCUCUCUUUCCCUAGUUGCCCCCCUCUGUCCUCUCAGACUGCCCCAUAUUCCAUCUCCCCCCCCUUAAACAAAUUCAUUAAGGAAUCAUUGCAUAGCUCACCUUGACUCACAGAUGCCGGCUCAUCUGUCCUCACCCACCCUCCCUGCCCCCACCAAGCCUGUUCUCGGCUCUCUGGACGGUUGACCGUAGCACCACUAGACUCAUUAAAGGAGCAUAUUGGACUUGCUGAGGGAGAAAAGAACCGAGUUUUCUCCACUGGGCUGGUGCCAGUCCGCAAGCUGCAAGGGGAGAGCUUGGCCAUAAGGAGGACAGGGCAGGCCCUGAAGAGUUCGCCUGCUGCCCAUUCCUGGGAAGAGGUGAAGUCUUUCAGGGCAAACCAUUUUCCACGGACAUUCAGUGUCUUGGAAUAAACAAGGCAGGCUUCUGUAAAAUUGGAAGUAUUGAUAUGCAGAAUGAGUUCCUUGCCUCUCAUCUCCUGGGGGAUGGCACCCAUCAAACUAAGAGGAGAGAAGAAGACCUUUUCUUAACAUAACUCAGAGGGGGAGAAAAGAAUCAGAGAUCCUUUCAGCAAAAUAGAACAGAAGAUUGUUACUGAGGCAUCCACUCUCACUAGGAGAACAGUUUGAUCACUGUGGAAAUGAACGCUUGACCUUCAUUCUUCCCUUCAUCCGUGUGGACCCUAAACUCUCUCCAGCUCCAUCCCAGGGGACGUGGAAUGGAGCCAAAUGACAAAAUCUAGGAGAGGAAAAGAGGGUGCCCUAUGGAAGGGAGCAGAGAGUUGAAGGGGCCUAAGGGCUCAGGGGCCUGAGAGAGGAACGGUUUUAGGUGAGGGGCCCCUGCCAACCCAGGACCUGUGUUGAAGGCCUGCAGGCUUACCUGGGAGGCAGUAUAGCUUUCAGGGGCUCAGGAGAGCUGCUCCUGAGUACCCCCCCAGGGCGAGCCUAAUAGGUAGCUAAUAGGGGACUUUCUGGACCCUGGGUAAGACUGUCCUGCCCUGAUCUGAAGGGUGCAGUGGAGGAGACUGGGCGGCAUUUACGUUCUGCUUUUUUUAUUUUUAUUUUUUAAAAAUUUUAACCAUAUUUAACUGUACAGUUCAGUGGCACUAAGUACAUUCACAUUGUUGUGCAACUCUCACCAUCAUCCAUCUCCCGAAUUUCUGUUUGUAGGACAUCUAUUAAGUUAACAUUUUGCUUUAAUAGUCCCAAGCACCUCAGUCUCUGUUGUCAGAUGAAGCCCUAAGAUUUGUCUGGGUUGUCGCCACCCUAGCCUCCCUAUAUUUGAAACAAACAAACAAACAAACAAACACGUCGGCCUCAUACUUCAAGUAGUGCUUGUUUCAGAAAAACAAAGGGAGGAGAUAAAGCUGGUUCAGGAAUUCCCCUCCUUCCACCCAUGUCUUUCCAUGCAGCUCCCCAAAGACGCCGGAACACUCCUGCAGCUCUAGUAGCCCCCUCCUAAAGAAGAGCAGAAUGUGUAGGCUCUGCUCUUUACCCAGGGUGGCUGAGUGGAGGGCAAAUAAGCCUUUCUCUUGUGCAUGAGGACUUGACCUUUGGGUAACUGUACAGCUCUGUUAUUCUGGCAACCUCUUAAGGGUAAAAUGCAAACUGUAUUUCCAAGCAACAUUGCUGGCAAUAAAAUAACCCCUGUCUGGUCAUUUGUAUUCGGGCUGGGGGGAGCUAUCAAGGACCAUACAUUCCUGCUAAGGACACCAUUCUUUAGGCCUCCCUGGGUGUGGUGACUUUUAUAACGGGGUGUCCCCUGCGGGGCAGGAAAGCCUGUCUAGGAAGUUGCUAUAGGAGAUACUGGCUCCUUUGGGGAGUGAGGAUAUUAAGCCAGGUUAGCUCUCACAGCUGCCCAGUGUGGCUCUCAUCCCUUGUAUCUGAGCAGAAGCUAGUGCUGAAUGGCUGUUCAGGUUGAUAUACAGACUUUCCCUGAUGCAGACCCCUGGUGCUGCCCUGCUGGUGACCUGUGGUCCUGCCCUACAUUGUUCUGAGUAGAUCAGUUGUGGCCUAUGAUUAUCGUGUGAGUGUCUAGUUGGGGCUAAGAAGAUCCUCUGAUGGGUGAUAGAGAAGGUAUAGCUGACUUCCUGUUAAUGUAUUACUCCCCUCAGGGGUAAUUACCUUUUACAAAAGUAGACUGGUGGGUGGAGGGCAUACUUAGGGUGCCCAGUGUGCCUCACAUUACACCCAUAGGGCACAUUCUGGCUUCAGGACUUUUAAACACCCCUGAAAUGAUGCCCGAGAAGAAUCUGGGUGGUAUCUAAUUUUGCUUUGCAUAUACCUAUCACCCAAAGCUGUUAGAACUAUAAAAAUCACACUGGCCUUCUACAUGACAGUUCUUACUAUAAAGGCUCUAACUUCAAAAUUCAGGGAACUAAUGUGAAGGGUUUCCAUUUUCUAAGUUUACCUAUGCCAAUUAUAAAUUCAAUUACUGGAGAAAUAACUAGUGGUUUCACUAUGACGUGGAGCAGGGUGAGAAUUUCAUUUAUUACCUGUCCUCUGUACUUUCUCCUCUAACCAGAGAAAUAGUAGCAAAUGGCAUUUAUGAUUUCUUGGUAGCAGUGUAAGGUCAAAACAACUCUGCAUUUCCCUUUCUCCAGUACACAGUUGUUCUGGUAGGUGUCCAUAGGUCACUUUGGGGAAAGAUUGAGGGAAUGUUUAUUGUUUAUGCUUGUAAUGGACUUGCAGGGCUCUUCUUCGAGGAGACCCAGUCUCCCCUUCAAUCAAUGGGCUCUGAGUCUAUGAACAAACUUACCUGGGAACCCAGGUGGAGGGCCAUAAUUUUUCCAGUGUAGCAUCCAACU
Molecule: long non-coding RNA, 3894 nt
Organism: Balaenoptera ricei (Rice's whale)
Lineage: Eukaryota; Metazoa; Chordata; Mammalia; Artiodactyla; Balaenopteridae
Exons: 3
Source: RefSeq, a predicted model, not a curated record